AUUGAACGCUGGCGGCAUGCCUUACACAUGCAAGUCGAACGGUAACAGGUUAAGCUGACGAGUGGCGAACGGGAGAGUAAUGUAUCGGAACGUGCCCAGUCGUGGGGGAUAACUGCUCGAAAGAGCAGCUAAUACCGCAUACGACCUGAGGGUGAAAGCGGGGGAUCGCAAGACCUCGCGCGAUUGGAGCGGCCGAUAUCAGAUUAGGUAGUUGGUGAGGUAAAGGCUCACCAAGCCGACGAUCUGUAGCUGGUCUGAGAGGACGACCAGCCACACUGGGACUGAGACACGGCCCAGACUCCUACGGGAGGCAGCAGUGGGGAAUUUUGGACAAUGGGCGCAAGCCUGAUCCAGCCAUGCCGCGUGCGGGAAGAAGGCCUUCGGGUUGUAAACCGCUUUUGUCAGGGAAGAAAAGGUUCUGGCUAAUACCUGGGACUCAUGACGGUACCUGAAGAAUAAGCACCGGCUAACUACGUG
RNAcentral lists this ribosomal RNA (477 nucleotides) under uncultured bacterium. RNAcentral describes it as "partial 16S ribosomal RNA". It matches the Rfam family "Bacterial small subunit ribosomal RNA", at positions 30 to 507 of the family's 1533-position model. The record is from RNAcentral.